RNAcentral lists this ribosomal RNA (445 nucleotides) under uncultured bacterium. RNAcentral describes it as "bacterial SSU rRNA". It matches the Rfam family "Bacterial small subunit ribosomal RNA", at positions 331 to 793 of the family's 1533-position model. The record is from RNAcentral.
CCAGACUCCUACGGGAGGCAGCAGUGGGGAAUAUUGCACAAUGGGGGAAACCCUGAUGCAGCGACGCCGCGUGAAGGACGAAGUAUUUCGGUACGUAAACUUCUAUCAGCAGGGAAGAAAAUGACGGUACCUGACCAAGAAGCCCCGGCUAACUACGUGCCAGCAGCCGCGGUAAUACGUAGGGGGCAAGCGUUAUCCGGAUUUACUGGGUGUAAAGGGAGCGUAGACGGCCGUGCAAGUCUGAUGUGAAAACCCGGGGCUCAACCCCGGGACUGCAUUGGAAACUGCAUGGCUGGAGUGUCGGAGAGGCAAGUGGAAUUCCUAGUGUAGCGGUGAAAUGCGUAGAUAUUAGGAGGAACACCAGUGGCGAAGGCGGCUUGCUGGACGACGACUGACGUUGAGGCUCGAAAGCGUGGGGAGCAAACAGGAUUAGAUACCCUGGUAC